Molecule: transfer RNA, 78 nt
Filed under: Planctomycetota bacterium
Lineage: Bacteria; Pseudomonadati; Planctomycetota
Description: tRNA-Pro
Rfam family: tRNA
About the family: Transfer RNA (tRNA) molecules are approximately 80 nucleotides in length.
Source: RNAcentral
CGGGGCGUAGCGCAGUCUGGCUAGCGCGUCAGAAUGGGGUUCUGAAGGUCCCGGGUUCAAAUCCCGGCGCCCCGACCA